ACCAAGAUUCUACAGAGCUGGCUGGGUCAGGAUUCUAAGACAGUUAGGCAGCUGGGAAACUGUCUUUCUGAAGCUGGGAUUCAGACAGAGAGGCUGUGUGUCAGAGUCUCCCUCAAGCAAUUACCUCUGAAGCUGCCUGACUUGGAUAAUCCUCAAGAAAAAAGGUUGAGGCUCUGACCAACAUAUCUGUACCUGCUAGGAGUCUUUCCAUUUAAUUUGCUGUCUGUUCAGUUGACAAAAUAGACACCGAGGCAGGAUGGUAUUAUCCUACUGAAAAAUAGGAGUGAUCCCAAGCCUAGAUCAUAGUAUUUCUAUGCCUUUUGCAGCCUUCCUCUUUAGUCCUUCCUCUCCCCAAAAGGAGCAAGUUUAUUCCCUGGGAAGUGUGGUGACCAGCAAGUCAAAGAUCAAAGCAAUGCUUGAAUACCACCAACAAAGGCAUGGUGUGAGGAGGAGAAGAAAAACAGAACAGAUUGAGAUCUAUAUCCUUAGGAAGAAUGUCCACACUGAUGAAAUAACGAAUCCUUCAUGUGCCACCAAGAAUCAGGGAGCUAAAGAAAAAGAGGGAGCAGAUGUCAAAAUCGGGCAGCCAAUUACAGUGGUGGUAGCAACAGCAGAAGAAAAGGUCAUUAGGAACCUAAUGGGACAGAUCUGUGCACCUAGCAAGCAAACAGGCUCUGGGAUGGAGAAAGGUCUAGAGGCACAGUUACCUUGACUCAAUUGUUCUGUGGAAGUUUCAAAAGCAAACAAGAGCCACCAGGAGAUCUGUGACAGUCCUAAUCCCAGAGCCUCGAGUCACCUGAGAGAAGGACCCACUGUAGAUUUACCCACAUCCCAUCUCUUCAAGUUUAGCAGCUGGUCAGCGCGUCAGUCAGUCAACAAGUGUUGAGUAAGCAAUUACUGUGUCACAGGCACUGUACGAAAUACUGGUUAUAAAAGAGAAAGCAAAAUCUUCUCUGAAUUUUUCUCUAAUGUAAGCAAUACAUGUCUUGUUUCACAGUGUGAAGGCCAGGGAAAUAUUUAUUAUAUGAUAAUAUGUGUUCAAUCUCUAUCAUGGUUCUCAGGGAGGGGAGAAAGUGGAAGUGGGAGAAAGGACAUGGAUUUCAAAAUGUCAGAAAACAAAUAUUAAAAAAUUAUAUUGACAUGUAAAAAAUUAAAACAAAACAAAGGAGCUAAAAAAGGCAAAAACAAAGUCUCUGCUCUCAAGCUCAUAAGCCAGUGAGGGAAAUAGCAUGUAAAAAAACAAAUAAACAAUUAUAGACAGUGUACA
This 1267-nucleotide long non-coding RNA is filed under the name Monodelphis domestica (gray short-tailed opossum). Its description in RNAcentral is "lncRNA (ENSMODG00000033963.2)". Lineage: Eukaryota; Metazoa; Chordata; Mammalia; Didelphimorphia; Didelphidae. The record is from RNAcentral.